Molecule: ribosomal RNA, 202 nt
Filed under: Runella salmonicolor
Lineage: Bacteria; Pseudomonadati; Bacteroidota; Cytophagia; Cytophagales; Spirosomataceae
Description: partial 16S ribosomal RNA
Rfam family: Bacterial small subunit ribosomal RNA
Source: RNAcentral
ACGAUGGAGAGUUUGAUCCUGGCUCAGGAUGAACGCUAGCGGCAGGCCUAAUACAUGCAAGGCGAAGGGGCAGCAAUGCCACUGUCGUACGGGUGCGUAACGCGUAUGCAACCUACCUAUCACAGGGGAAUAGCCUUUGGAAACAGGGAUUAAUACCGCAUAAAGCAGGGACUCCGCAUGGAGAUAUUGCUAAAGAUUUAUC